GAUGAACGCUGGCGGCGUGCCUAAUACAUGCAAGUCGAGCGAACAGACGAGGAGCUUGCUCCUCUGACGUUAGCGGCGGACGGGUGAGUAACACGUGGAUAACCUACCUAUAAGACUGGGAUAACUUCGGGAAACCGGAGCUAAUACCGGAUAAUAUAUUGAACCGCAUGGUUCAAUAGUGAAAGACGGUUUUGCUAUCACUUAUAGAUGGAUCCGCGCCGCAUUAGCUAGUUGGUAAGGUAACGGCUUACCAAGGCAACGAUGCGUAGCCGACCUGGGAGGGUGAUCGGCCACACUGGAACUGAGACACGGUCCAGACUCCUACGGGAGGCAGCAGUAGGGAAUCUUCCGCAAUGGGCGAAAGCCUGACGGAGCAACGCCGCGUGAGUGAUGAAGGUCUUCGGAUCGUAAAACUCUGUUAUUAGGGAAGAACAAAUGUGUAAGUAACUAUGCACGUCUUGACGGUACCUAAUCAGAAAGCCACGGCUAACUACGUG
Molecule: ribosomal RNA, 497 nt
Filed under: uncultured bacterium
Lineage: Bacteria
Description: partial 16S ribosomal RNA
Rfam family: Bacterial small subunit ribosomal RNA
Source: RNAcentral